Molecule: long non-coding RNA, 857 nt
Filed under: Homo sapiens (human)
Lineage: Eukaryota; Metazoa; Chordata; Mammalia; Primates; Hominidae
Description: non-protein coding lnc-ATP6V1E2-5:1
Source: RNAcentral
GGUGGCGGUCCUUGAGCUGGAAAGCAGGAACCCUGGCUUAUUGCGUGGUCCCCCCCACCACCACCACCCCACGCCUUCCGUAGCACGAGCUUUAAUCAUUUACUAUGAAACCGGUAACUAAGGGAGAUACAGCGUGUUGAACCACUGAAGCACGCCCCUCCACACACACACCAGCCAGAAAAAGGAUACCCCGUCGGCUCCGGACCCGGCAAAUGUACCUGGGCUCCCCCUGGAGGCCACAUUCUCCGAGGUCGCCUUUCGGUCCCCAAUGUUCCUCAAAGGUAUUCCGUUGUAAUCCCGGAGAACUGAUACACACUAGUGCUCUGAAACUUGGCCUGUGCUCGAGGCGGCAACCCCUGCCCCUCUGCCUGGCGAUGCCGGAACACACCCAUCUGGCCAGGUCCUGUUCACUGGCCAAGAAUGCAGCAUUGAACACUGGGCAUUGGGGCGGGGGUGCACUCUGCGCUGACACCGCACCCCUCCCCUCAACUUGCUGACUAGAGGAGGCCUGAACUCUCAAACUCCGAAUCUGAUUUCCACUCUCCCAGGAAGUCUUCGGAAAUCACUGUGGAUUGUCAAUACAGGAGUCCAUACUGACUGAAUCCCUAAUUUUGGCCUGUAUUCUUCUCCCUCUGUGAACCAUCUUCUUAGAAGUCACUGAACCAAGAGUGCCAGAAAACCAUCCCAAGACUCACACAGAGUUGUUCUUCCAUAGUGGAUGUUUUGGCCACUGGACAUCAGAACCACAUUUUGGGUUUGAAGAAUCUUCUACAUGCCCAGCGGAGAAUGAUCAGCUGAAUGGGACUGGGGCGGAAGCCAGGAGCAGAGGGAGGAAAUGCACCCAAGCUGGAGAGCCC